CUAGAUUUUGACCCGCGCGCCCGCGCGGGUAUUAUUUUCCGAUAAUUAUGUUUGUUUUAUUUGUACUACUUUAGUUUAUUGUUGAGACUAUAUAUUUUGUUACUUUAUUGUGUUAUAUAUUUUUGUUCUUAGAUGUGUGUUGGAUCAGUCAUGUAAUUAUAUAUCUUUUUUUAAAAUGUAAGUAUGUAUUAAUAUAUCCUCAAAUGACCAUUAUGUAAGUUUUUCUUCCACAUCUAGU
This 238-nucleotide long non-coding RNA is filed under the name Brassica napus (rape). RNAcentral describes it as "long non-coding RNA (BNAP_LNC006155)". Lineage: Eukaryota; Viridiplantae; Streptophyta; Magnoliopsida; Brassicales; Brassicaceae. The record is from RNAcentral.